GUUCCAGCAGCCGCGGUAAUACAGAGGUGGCAAGCGUUGUUCGGAAUUACUGGGCGUAAAGGGCGCGUAGGCGGUCUCGUAAGUCCCGCGUGAAAUCCCCCGGCUCAACUGGGGAAUGGCGCGGGAAACUGUGAGGCUUGAGUUCGGGAGAGGGAAGCGGAAUUCCGGGUGUAGCGGUGAAAUGCGUAGAUAUCCGGAGGAACACCGGUGGCGAAGGCGGCUUCCUGGACCGACACUGACGCUGAGGCGCGAAAGCUAGGGGAGCAAACGGGAUUAGAAACCCUAGUAGUCC
RNAcentral lists this ribosomal RNA (292 nucleotides) under uncultured bacterium. Its description in RNAcentral is "partial 16S ribosomal RNA". It matches the Rfam family "Bacterial small subunit ribosomal RNA", at positions 505 to 796 of the family's 1533-position model. The record is from RNAcentral.